CCAGACUCCUACGGGAGGCAGCAGUGGGGGAUAUUGCACAAUGGGGGGAACCCUGAUGCAGCGACGCCGCGUGGGUGAAGGAGUAUUUCGGUAUGUAAAGCCCUAUCGGCAGGGAAGAAGCAAGACGGUACCUGACUAAGAAGCCCCGGCUAACUACGUGCCAGCAGCCGCGGUAAUACGUAGGGGGCGAGCGUUAUCCGGAUUCACUGGGUGUAAAGGGAGCGUAGACGGCCAAGCAAGCCAGGGGUGAAAGCCCGGGGCCCAACCCCGGGACUGCUCUGGAAACUGCGGCGCUGGAGUACGGGAGGGGCAGGCGGAAUUCCUGGUGUAGCGGUGAAAUGCGUAGAUAUCAGGAGGAACACCGGCGGCGAAGGCGGCCUGCUGGACCGUGACUGACGUUGAGGCUCGAGAGCGUGGGGAGCAAACAGGAUUAGAUACCCUCGUAAAU
Molecule: ribosomal RNA, 448 nt
Filed under: uncultured bacterium
Lineage: Bacteria
Description: partial 16S ribosomal RNA
Rfam family: Bacterial small subunit ribosomal RNA
Source: RNAcentral